GACGAACGCUGGCGGCGCGCUUAACACAUGCCAGUCGAACGGAAAGGCCUGCUUUCCCUUGUGGAUUGCGGGUACUCGAGUGGCGAACGGGUGAGUAACACGUGAGUGAUCUGCCCCCAACUUGGGUAUAAGCCUGGGAAACUGGGUCUAAUUCCCGAUAGGACUGCAGGGUGGUGCCUGUGGUGGAAAACGAUUUUCUAGUGGUUGGUGAUGAGCUCGCGGCCUAUCAGCUUGUUGGUGGGGUAAUGGCCUACCAAGGCGGCGACGGGUAGCCGGCCUGAGAGGGUGGACGGCCACAUUGGGACUGAGAUACGGCCCAGACUCCUACGGGAGGCAGCAGUGGGGAAUAUUGCACAAUGGGCGGAAGCCUGAUGCAGCGACGCCGCGUGGGGGAUGACGGCCUUCGGGUUGUAAACUCCUUUCGACCGCGAGGAAGCCACCUGGUUGGAAGGGUGGUGACGGUAGUGGUAGAAGAAGCACCGGCUAACUACGUG
This 494-nucleotide ribosomal RNA is filed under the name uncultured bacterium. Its description in RNAcentral is "partial 16S ribosomal RNA". It matches the Rfam family "Bacterial small subunit ribosomal RNA", at positions 28 to 507 of the family's 1533-position model. The record is from RNAcentral.